RNAcentral lists this ribosomal RNA (361 nucleotides) under uncultured bacterium. RNAcentral's name for it is "partial 16S ribosomal RNA". It matches the Rfam family "Bacterial small subunit ribosomal RNA", at positions 338 to 696 of the family's 1533-position model. The record is from RNAcentral.
CCUACGGGAGGCAGCAGUGAGGAAUAUUGGUCAAUGGGCGCGAGCCUGAACCAGCCAAGCCGCGUGAAGGAGGAAUGCACUGCGGGUUGUAAACCUCUUUUAUCAAGGAAUAAAGUGAGGGACGUGUGCCCUGAUGAGUGUACUUUAUGAAAAAGGAUCGGCUAACUCCGUGCCAGCAGCCGCGGUAAUACGGAGGAUCCGAGCGUUAUCCGGAUUUAUUGGGUUUAAAGGGUGCGUAGAUGGGAUGUUAAGUCAGUUGUGAAAGUUCGGGGCUCAACCGUAAAAUUGCAAUGGAUACUGGCAGUUUGGAGUACAGUUGAGGGAGGCAGAAUGCGUGGGGUAGCGGUGAAAUGCUUAGAUA